AACACACAUCAAAACAAACCGCGGAUUAAUUGAACAGGUGAAAUAGUUUACAGAAAUACAGUUUUACAGAACAUGGAUGAUGCUCCAAACGAGUUUCUUGGUGAGGACGUUGAAUUCUGUGAUUUGGAGUUUCUGGAGUUAGUAUAUUAUAGUGACGGCUAUGAAAAUACUAAGGGAAACGAGAAAUCUUCCGAAAUAGAUUCGAUGGAAGAUACAGCUGCAAAUGAAGGAUCUAGAGAAAUGGCUGCACGAAAAUACGUCGCUAUUAAUCUAUCAGCAACGGAAUACAGAAAUAAUCGAUUUCAUUUUGUUGGAAUAUUUUACUUUCGUUUGUUUCGAUCACAACAUUUGACGGAUCCGGUAUACAAAUGAGAUGUGUAUGGACGUUCACUGUCCGAAUUACGCCGGUGUGUUUGGGAAAUUUGCAAGGAUUUUGUUUCUCGCGAAGUCGUUGUUGAACAUGUUGAGGCCGAAAAAGAUGUUAGAUGGGCAGUCCAACAGACUCCGGAUGUGACUGAUAUUGAGAAACACAUUCUUCUGAAAUACGGGAAGCCAAAAAGCUAUACACAUUUCAUGAUCUGAGUAUGAACAAAAAGUUGUUGUCGAAAUGGUGUGGAAGUGAAGUUGGAGUCCACAUAUUUAAACAUUCCAUUGCGAUUACAUCACAUACAUCAUGGCAAAUUGUGAGCAAGAAUUUACUGCACUUCGAACAAAAAGACAAAACAGGACCGCCAGCCACUCAGGAAAUUUUCGAUUUCGACGUCAUGGUCUGCAAGUGGCUUAUAAUAUUAACGAGAGUAUUUCGUCAUCUAUUGAUAUUUUUUGUGAAUGAAUUGACUCUCUCGUUAUCAAUGUUUCGGAUGUUCAUGCACAAAUACACGAACUUAAAGCUCAAGUGAGAAAUUCUCGUUCAUUGUUGGACGCAAUGAACUCUUCGAUGCCGCCAGACGAAAACGAAUUCAGCAGAAAUUUAGCAUCCAAAGUUACAAAUGCUAACGAUAAUACAGUUAUUUACAUUUAAUGCGACAUGUCGAGGCACCACUCAGUGUCGCAUUAGAGGAGAUUGUAACCUGUAAUUGGACAUUCGUGCUGACAGUGGUCAGUGUCGACGUCUGGUGGCGACUUUCAAUUCGGCUUCCGAACUAGAUAGUAUAAUCUCUAUUAGAUUAAAAAGCACGAAUGGAGUUUUAAAAUGUUAAACUUUGAAUGAAAAUUUCUACAUUAUGUUAUUUAAUUACUUGAAACACGUAUUUUUGACUCUUAAAUAAACCGAUUGUCUAUACAUUUCGGAUAUUUUGACUGAAACUUUUCAUUAUAUAUAAUAUGAAAUUGUCUUCAAACACAAUUUUCGUAUGAGAUAUUUUCACCACCUGUAAAAAAGUGUAUUUCAUUUAAAUAGAAUGCUAAUUCGAUACGGGUAGGUUAACUUUCAUUCAUAAUUUUAAUUUUGAAUACGUGUUCAUUCCGCCUGAAAAUUAUUUACUAUCUUUGACGCUCCCGAAAUCGUGAAACAAAGCUCAGUGCCGUCAACGCGAAUAUCAACAAACACAGCACAAACGAAAAACAGAAUGUGAAAAACAAGUUAGAACCAGAAAAGAAAAACAGCAAAAUGGACUCAACUUUCGUAGACAUUGGUGAAGGAUACAUGCAAGGAGAAUAUUUAGAUGAACAUUUAGAAGAUCUACUACCGGCCAACAUUCAUUCGAGCUGUUCUAUUGCUUUAGAACAAAUCACCGUCGGCGAAGCUAACAGCAAGCCCGAUCAAAAUGACCGUCCAGUGAAAUACAAGAGACGAAAGUAUAAUGUCCUCACCAUCAAGGAUAAGAACAUAGUCUGUAAAGGCCUUGCCUACAAAGUCAUUGGUUUGUUCUAACGAAAAAACUGCACCCGGACGCAUGUCGUUGAAGGAGCGACUGACAAUUACACCUUGCAGCAAUGCAAGUGGUAGCCACAAAUUACCAUUACAAGUGCUUGGCCGCGCAUCAAAUCCUAGAUGCUUUAAAACGCAAGGCGUGCCUGAUGGGAUACACUAUUUUUCAAAUAAGAAAGCGUGGCAAACUAGUGCGACGUUUACUGAUUGGUCCUACUCCGUUUUCGUUCCUGAAAUCAAACAGAAGGCAGCUGCAUAGAAUAGACCGACUAAAGCGCUUCUAAUUCUAGAUAAUUGCACCGCACAUUGAAGUAAAGAUAAUUUUCAAGUGGAUGACGCAGAAAUUCAGGUGAUCUUCCUUCCUCCAAAUGUGACAAGCAUUUUUCAGCCUAUGGAUCAAGGAAUCAUCAAUGCUUUUAAGGUUAUCUAUAAAUCGAAUUUUCUGCGCCGUGUUCUGUUAGAAACUGACAGCGAUCGCCCAGUUACAGAAGUUAUCAUAUCAUUUAGCCUUUAUUAUGCUAUUCAACUAGCGACUGAUGCGUGGGCCACUGUAACUCCAGAAACGAUUGUUAACUGUUGGCGCAAUCUCUUAAGUGUCAGUCAAGAUCAAAACUAUAACUCGUUCAACGAUUUCACAAUUUCUUCACCAACGAGUGACCCCCGCGUAUUGCUUUCUAAAGUAGUGCAACUCGUCGAUCCAAACUACGAUCUGACCGAAGAAGAAGUUCAAGAGUGGCUAAGCAACUCAGACAACAUAGAUGUAGCGCAAAUAUAUACCGACGAGCAAUUGGCCAUGUAUAUUGCCUCUGGUGGUGACUUUUUCGAGGCGGACCAUGAAGAGCAAGAUUGCGAUGCUAACGAAAGUGCUGAGGGUGAUCUUAGUACUUCGGUUAUAUGUACUCUUGGAGCAGUCAAUCCGAAAAACGCAAUGAUUAUAAGAAGGUUAUCAGCAUCAUGGAUGUACUCAAAAAUGUUCUUAUUGCUGUUGGUGAUGACCAUAAAUUAGUGGAAGUCGAAAAAUGGAAAAACGAACAUGAAAAUGAAAUUAUUCGCCUUCUUGACGAAUAACAAUAGUGAAUUGUAAUUAAGUAUAUGGCAUGAUAACAAAAAUACAAAAUGAUUGAUUGUAACACCAUAAAUUGUUUUGAUUGGAAAAAUGGUUGAAAACACUCCCAUAAAUUUAUCGUGAAAGGCUUCAGUCAAAAUAUCCGAAGUGUAUAGACAAUCGAUUAAAUAAGAGUCAAAAAUACGUGUUUCAAGUAAUUAAUUAACAUGAUGUAGAAAUUUUCAUUCAAAUUUUAUUAUUUUAAAACUGGCUUCGUGCCUUCUAAUCUGAUAUAGAUUACACUAUCGAGUUUUGUCCCAAAUU
This is a long non-coding RNA of Toxorhynchites rutilus septentrionalis, 3239 nucleotides long. RefSeq lists it as uncharacterized. NCBI's taxonomy places the organism in Eukaryota, Metazoa, Arthropoda, Insecta, Diptera, Culicidae. The transcript is spliced from 4 exons. The record is from RefSeq and is a predicted model, not a curated record.